CCCGGCGGCGCGCUGCCCGCUGCUGACACCGUGUGGAGCCGCGCCGGGGCUGCAGCGCGCCCCGUCCUUCCGCGGGUCCCGCCGGCAGCGCUGCCGAAAGCCCCCGGUCCCGCUUCACGGAUGGUUAGAGGAAGAGCUCGGCAGCGGUUUCCUACCGUCGAGCGUUACAGAAUUGCAUGGGUUGGAGGAGACCUCUGGAGAUGAUCAAGUCCAAACCCCUGCUAAAGCAGGUACCCUACAGCAGAUCACACAGGAGCCUGACCCCAUGGACUUGACUCCCACACUUCAGAUAUUUAUGAACAGCGAUGGGAUUUCUUCUCAGCCUUCUCUUCUCCAUGCUGAACAGCCUUCUCUCAUAAAGGAGAUGCUCCAGGACCCUCAUCAUCUCUGUGGCCUUCCGCUGGACUCUCUCUAGAAGUUCCCUGUCUUUUUUGAACCGAGGAGCUCAGAACUGGACAUAGUACUCUGGAUGUGGCCUCACCAGAGCAGAAUUGAGGGGGAAGAUCACCUCCCUUGACCUGCUGGCCACACUCUUUUCAAUGCACUCCAGGAUACCAUUGCCCUGCUUGGCCACCCAGGCGCACUGCUGGCUCAUGGCCAACCUGUUAUCCACCAGGACCAUUAAGUUCUCCUCAGAGCUCCUCUCCAGCAGGUCAGCCCCUAACCUGUACUGGUGCACAUGGUUAUUCCUCCCCAGGUGCAGGGCACUACACUUGCACUUGUUGAACCUCAGCAGUCUGAUCAGGUUUUGUUGAAGGGCAGCACAGCCCUCUGGUGUGUCAGCCAUUCCUCCCACCUUUGUAUAAUCAGCAAACUUGCUGAGGGUGGAAUCCCCUCAUCUAGAGUGGUCCCUACUGAUCAUUCUGACGUGGUGCUAAAGUGGCCAGAGUGGACCAGUACAUCAGAUCCACAAAGUGUGGAUUUAUUCAGAAGUCUAAAGAUCUCUCAAUACCCUCUUCCCCUUGCUCAUUACCACUGGCUUGUGCAAUGCUGAACUGGUGCCAGUCAUGUGGUUGCAGCUAAGUGGUUGUGUCCUCCUCCACUCAUACAGCAGGGAUGCAUCUGCUCUAGAAACAGGGAAGACUACAUAAAAAUACAUUUCGGCUAAUUUUGUUCUGAAGUACUCUAGGACACUGCAGUAGUAGAACUUAUUUUAGAUGAAAAUUGCACAUCUGCAAAGAUUUCUGCAUCAUCCCGAUAGUGUUCUGGCAUCUCCAUUUCAGCAAUUCCCUCAGUGCAAAGUGGAUUUUGUGAAAAGAAAAUACACAUGAGUGGAUUGCCACCUGCAGCUUAGUUUUCUAUGAAUCUGAAACAGUGACUCAGUACUCAAAGAUAUUGUUAGAUAAUAAUAUACCACUUAUAUGUGUGUAUAUAUAUAUAUAUAUGUGGAUGCCUUUAUGCUGUUGAUGUUUUUUUUCAUGGUCUCUCUAGGUUAGUAUUUCCUUAUCAGUUUUAAGUUCUGCAUCUCUACUUCAAAUAAGAUGAGAUGGAGUCCUUGAUUUCAGUUGCUAUAUGCUUCUCUUCAUCCUUCCCAACUAAACAUGGAGCUUUGUUGGAUACCAGCCCUCUUCUGGAAUCUUGCCAAAAGCAGGUGCUUCCUACAACACGUGAUGGCCUGUUUGAAAUAACAAAUUCUGUUAGGCAACAAUGGAGAAGAAAGAAAAACCAGAUACUGGGUGGGCAUUUUGGAUCACAGUAAUAUAAGGAAGCCUAAAGUUGUGUCUCUCGCCUAACUCCUCGGUGUCUCCAUAUCCAGAAAGGUGGAUGGAUCUCUCUUUGCAGUGACCAAGAAGGCAGAGUUCAUGGUGCACUUGGCAGACCUUGCUGGGUUGUUCACAGGUUAGAUAUGAGGAGGGUUCAUUACCCUGAAAUGAUGGUUUUCUGCUUUAAACUCAUUUGUGUUAAGGUAGGGAAAGAAUGAUUCUGCUACCAGGUCAAUCACCCCCAAUUCUCUUCUUGUUUCUUUUUAUACUUGGGCUCAAUUUCCUCCUUCUCCCCAGAGUUGACAUCUCAGUUAUAAGGAAAUCCAUAAAUUUUACUUCCUUUUAGAGCUGCCAAGGUUGUGUAUGGUUUGCUUUUUUUCAUGGUGAUCAGGGUGCUGUUGAGAGCAUUUGAACAGGCUUACAUACUCUCUUUUCUCUGCACAGAUAGCAAGGCUUUAUUCUGUAGCCUCUAUAAAGCCACAGAAAAGCUCCGUUUGUCAGUGAUGGAAAUUAGUGGAUACCUUUGUUCUCUCAGUGAGUGCCAUAUCCAAAAAAAAAUCAAGUUGUGGAGAUUCUCUUGCAAAUUCUAAUUAACAGUCAGGAUGGAUUCUGAAAUAGGUGGGAAACGGGAAUGUAUUCUGGAAUAUUUUUGCAUGAUAUGCCUGGUGGUACGUCAGGAUUGUGCAUUUUGAAAAGUGCCAUUGACAUCAGUGAAGGGAAUGCAGUGAAUUCAGUGAAUGCUGACACAGACAAUGCGAUUGGAACCAGAAAUAAAGGACUGAAUUGAUUUCUCCUAAUUUAGAUACCUUCAGCUGAGCUAGCCUUGAAUGUACCCAUCUCCACUGAGUAUAAAGGGACCCUAGGGUGACUUGCUCAUAUGUAAAGGUCUAUACUCUGGAAUGUUUAAUAUUAACUAAAAUUAAUCUUACUCACAAGAGUUGGUUUCUUAUUCAUUUCAGCUUUCUGCCAUGUAUCAGUUUUCUUAUGUGGGGUCAUAUUAUGGACUGAUUACAGGAUCAGAGCCUGUCUCCAUCUUAUUAGCAGAAGCUGUGGGAAAAGAAAGGAAUACAGAGAAAAGAAGCAACUGGAUAAGGCAAAUCUUUGCUCCUAAUCUGAGUAUUGUAUGUAAUGGCUGCCUGGGAAACGUGUGGUAGGAGAAAUUAAUGAUUCUGAAAUGAGAAAAACCUGGUAAGACAAUGUCUUCAAACCCAGCUCUGGAUGCUUCUGUAAAUCCUACAAAUCCCAGUGCAUCAAAGGUGCAGUAAAGGGGCCACUUUAUCCUCGAGUUUGUUGGUCUACUGGGAAACACUGCCAGCUCCUGAGAAGGCAGCACCUUGCGUUGUUCUACCUUACUCUGGCUCUCAGCCCAGUGUGGAGUCCCAGGGAGAGAGAGAAUUACCGCAACGCUUCAGGAAAGGAUAAACAAGCGGUAAGUGGAUGUUAACGUGGGCAAAGAGGACAGUGCGUCAGCAGAAUAAAAUGGCGUGAACAACUGACCUAAUGGUUACUACUACAAGAAAAGAAAAAUCUUGUGCAAAGGCUAGAGGUGGGAAAUCCGGAGAAUGCUUGUGAGCUGGAGGAAGGGAUUGAUCAGUACAUUUAUUUUUCUUGUUUGUUUUGUUUUGCAUGUAGGCAGGGGCCUCACAGUACUCUUGGAGAAUUUUAGUUGCUUCAGAUGAUGAGAUAAAUAGGGAAAGUGGUACUUGCACUGGGGGCACAUUGGAGUCCUUCCCUUUUUGUGAAAUUUCUUACUUUCUCUGGAUACAAAUUUAGCAGAAGGGAAAGCAAAAUAGAAGUGCCAGGCUGUGUCUGAAUGUCAUAAUAGAGGAGGUUUUCAAAGGUUCCGGUGAAUCAAAUAAGAUCACAGGUGCAUGCUCAAAUAGUGCUCAUGAAUUCCAGGCGGUUUAAUGAGGCUGCAUGCUGCACAAAUCAACUGCUAUGAUGUAUAAGAACAGGUCUAGACCAGAUUGCAGAAUUUUUAUUGUUAAAAAAGGCUGAAUUUUGGUUAUCACUUUCCCCUCUCUCUCUCUCUCUUUCUCUCUCUCUCUUCUUUUUUCCUGGGAUGCAAAUUCUUCAGACAUGAAGCUAAAUUUCAUAUGUCUGGGAGCUUCAUUCUCUUCUUGGAGACAUAAGACCAAGAGAAGGAUUAUGAAAAGUCUUUCCACCCAUACCUGCAGUGUACUCCUCUGACUUAUGUAUUAAUAAUGGAUCAGAAUGCUACCAUGAAUUAGCAAAGCUCUUCUUUCCUACCACUCUGUCCUAGCAGGAAAGAGAGUGUGAGUAGUGUGGAGUGAAUGCUGAUUAUCUGUGCUCAAAUAAAGGUAAAAAUUGUUUUUCAGAAAUGCUGAGCACCUGGAAUCUCAGCUGAUUUUAAGUGUGUGGAAAGCAUGGGAUAAAAUGCAGUAUCUCCAAUCAUUAUUAUAACCAAGGUCAAGUUAGUUAGGCUGGGUUUGCUACUUUCUGGCCAAGGAAAGGCACAGCACAAGUUAUCCUCUCUGAUAUUUGUAAUUUAUUAAAGAUUUAUUCGUGUUUUGUGCUCCUAAUUUAAAUCACUGUGUAAAGGUUGUCCAGUUCUUCUCUUACCUGAGUGAAUCUUGGAUAGGCAACUGAUAAUGCCUCAAGUACAGACAUGCUUUGAGAGAAAGCCCAGAAAAGAUCAUCUAAAAGAUUGCUCAGUCUGGGUAAUCUCAGGCAAUUUUUUUUCCUGAAUCAACAAACAAAAUGAUGUGAAGGCAAUAGACAAGCAAGCCUGGCUGGCUGUUACUAAGACAGAAAAGAGUUUCCAAGAGAAUGCCAUGUGGCACACACAUCAGCACAGCAUAAGGCUUGCCCAUAAACCCUGCUUUAAGAGCAUCCGCACUUAUCCCACACUACUCAGCCACAACUGGUGCUCAGAGCUGGGAAGGCAGUGUGUGUCCCCAGCUGACCCCUGCUUCUUCCAUGCGUGGAGCACUGCAUAAAGGGAUUCAGAACAAUUUCUUAGUGCUGGAAUACUGGAAAUUGCCCUCUUGAGGUGAGAGGAAACGUAUUGUUUUGCCCAUGGCUCCAGAGGUACUGAUUUCCUGAGGUGAAGUCUGCUUUUGCUCCCAUUUCUUUCCUUCUUCCUUUUCCCCACUUGCACGUGUGUGAACACACACGCAGAAAUAGCACAGGUUGCAGGAAGAAGACACAGUGUGUUCCUCUCCUUCCAAUGUGGGUGGUGAGACAGUGAGGUGGGGAGCAGAGCACAAGCGUGUUGGUGUGGGCACACCAGCGGGGCUCAGCAGCCCAUCCACAGCCCUUGGGAUCUGUGGUGUAACACACUGCCUUGUGCCAUCCCUCAGCGCAGCACCUGGGCUCGAAGCCACGCUUUAUCUCAAACCUCCUGAAGCAUAUGUGAGCCUCAUUUUUGCCAAGGCCAACCCAUCCUUUCCGUCUGAAUGCAGCAAGCCGCAAAUCCAGGAGGGAUGCUCUGCCCAAGGUGUGAGAAGAUCCUGCGGAUUCGCAUGCCUCUGCUCCUGUGCCUCAGCUGCUGAACGCUGAAAUCUCCACUGGUUGGACAGUGAGACUGGAAGCACACAGAAGCGAUAAAGAACAACGCGAGCGGAUUCAAAGGGGAUUUGGAUCAUUUAGUUGAUGAGCCAGCAGAUGGCAAAUGCUGCUUAGUAUAGAAAAUGAAAAGUAAUUAGUCUGGGAACAAAGAGCAAAUGUAAGGAAGGGGUGUUAUAUUCAGCACGCUGAUCAGAGAGAAAAAGGGGUAACCGUGGAAAAAAAUCAUAGAAACCGUCACUUCAGUGCACAGCUGCAAUAAAAAAGGCAAACAAGACACUAAACUGAUGGAACAAUGAGCUAUAAUGCACCAGGAAAGAGGCAAUACAGUCCUCUGGAAGAUGGUUAUUAGGCCUCGCUAGAAUACUGCGUGGAGCAUGGGUCACUGUCUCAGGAAGGUUAUGUUUGGAGAAAGGUGUAUUAUAAAGCAACUAAACUCUAAUGGUUUCAGUGAUCUCAGUUCUGAGGCAAAGUUAAGAGGCUCAUUUUAAGGGGUCAAAGAGUCCUUAAAGGGAUUUUAAAAUUAUAGUAACAAUCAGUAGUGUUACCAGACAACAUUUAGAGUGCUAUGAGAUUAUGAAAAUUAAGGAAGUGGUGCUGAGCACAGAGCAGAAACUUCACAAACUGCUGCACAAAAAGAAGAGACCAUUUCCUUCUGACUGCACUGUGUUAGCUGAGGGUCAGUUCAGCUUCAGGAGCGCUUGGGCCAGUGAGUGGUGCACUGUUACAGUACAUGAGACUAUCACGUGGAACAAGCAGAAGGGCAGGAAAGGCCUGGAAAAAAUGGUUCAGGGUUUGUUUUUAUUUGCUUUCUGCAUGUAUAGGUUCUUAAACUGUACCUUGUCUACCAAUAAAAUGUGCAUCCUUUGCACACAAGUCAUAACAAAUGUGCACUGGGGCAAAGAAGAAGAAAGAACAGCGUGGGAUCAUACUGUGUACAAAUAAGCAAGUUUCAGGUUUAGUUGAGACAAAGAAUUGUUGUUGGGUUGCUGCUUGAGAGAGCAUAGAAUCACAGAAUGUUUUGGGUUGGAAGGACCUCAAUACCCACCUAGCUCCAACCCUCUGCCAUGGGCAGGGCUGCCCCCCCCCAGCUCAGGCUGCCAAGGGCCCCAUCCAACCUGGCCUUGAGUGCCAGCAGGAAUGGGCCACAGGAACAUGAGAGGCUGAACUGGAGUUAUAUCCACCUAUGUUUAAAAAAGGUUGGUUUUUAGCAAUAUAUCACCAGGAAAUAGAAGGCAAGCCUCCUAAAAGAGAGCUGUUUUCUAUGGCUUAAGCUUAGAUCAUGAUUAAGCUUUGCCCUUGUUGAUGCUGGCAGCUCUAUAAAAGGGAAAGCAAGACAGGAGCAGGCAAGAUUGAGCUUGACUCUGUUGUGCAGUGAGGAAGGUAUCGAAUACUCACACUCCACAUCUGCAUGGUUGUGGCUCCCCAGUCUUAGUUCCACUCUACUGUUAUAAAGAAAAUGGUUUUGUGCUGAAAAUGCCUUGUGCGGAUUUACUACAGAUGGUGCCGUAUCGCUAGUGGAAAAACACAGGUCUGAAUCUGCUGAUGUUGUUGCAGCUAGGCAAAGCUUUCCAGUGCCUCUGAAGUUGAUGCAGAGGUGGGAAAAUAGAAAUUGUGUAGACCGAUGAUCUGGCCUUGAAAGGACCAGCAACAACUGCUUGUAUCAACCUCAGAGACACAUGUGGGAUAAUCUACCCCUCUAGAAACUUCAUUUUUCUUCUCCCAUAGUCAGAUACUGGCUUAAAUUCCAAAGCCCUGCCUUUAUACUUCCAAGUUUAGCGUAAUUGUUCUGACUGAAUGUUCUUGUGAUCCAUAUAGCCAUCCAGUCUUUCUUUGAAUCCUACAAAAUUCUUGACCUUGAUGCUUUCCUGUGGUGAUAUCUUCCACUGUCCAAUUAUACGUUAUGUGGAAGAGAUUUUCCUUUGAUCACCUUUGAAUGCAUGAGGUCUUCAUUUCAUUGAACAUUUCUUUAUUCUUGUAUUAUACGGCAAGAUAAAGAGAAGUAUCUGAUACAUCUUCUCGUGGUGUAUUUGGUAAUUUAUCUUACUAUGUCUCUUACGCAUCUUCUUUCAGAGAUAAACAAACCUCAGUCUUUUCAGUCUCCUGCCAUGGCCCUGCCUCUGCCUCCACCCCCUGCCUUCUUACUCUCACUCUUACUCUCCGACCUCUACUUGUUCCUGCAGGGUCUUUUAGAGCUUGGAAGGGAUAAGGACAGAUGAGAAUGCAGCACUGAUUGGUACAGAGGGAGAAUAUUGUCUGCUUUAUUCACUGUCUCAUUCACUGAGUAGCUGAACAUUUUGUUGGCUGUUUGGAUUGCAGCUGUACCCUGAGUAGAUGUCUUUCCUGAGCUGUCUCUAUGGUUGUUUAGGCAGUUGGUGCUGAGCUCUUCACUUCAGACAUUAACUUCUGUAACCACCUCCUCUCUGGCAUCUCUAACAGUCAUGCUGUCUCACUUCAUCUGGCAGAUAUUUUGCUACCCAGGCAGUCUGCAUUAUCCAGCAACCUGACCUUAUCUCACCUUCCUUAUUCCUUUUUUCUUAUCACAUCAAGAAGAAAGGCCUUACCCUCAUUUUAAAAAGGCCUUUUUAAUGCUUCUUUUUGCUAUCUGCCUGCUUUUAUGCCCUUCUUAAACUAUUCAUGACUUCCCUUUCAUGUUUUUGUAGUUCUCAUGUGCUUUUCCGACACUGCCCGUGCAGACUUUAUGAUGGGAGCUUUUCUGUGCUGAUCUGUAAGGUUACUUACUACUACUUUGUAGUCAUUCAGACCAUCCUUAAGUCUAGCUUUCUGGUAGUACCUCCAAGAUACAGCAAAGAGCAACGAUGCAGGGUAAUCUGGAAUUGCACAGUACGUCCAUUAGAAGUGCCCAGAUGUGAAGAUGUGCAGAGGGUGGAGCUCUCAUGAUGUUUAGUAGGAGGUGUGCUUCCUCUCUUAUGUAGAAAACUCCUUGGAAAGUAAAAAAUAAUUCAUGUGAGAUUAGACAGUGACCUCCAGGGCAGCUGGGAACCAGGCACGCAAGUGCACUUCAGUCACAUAGGUGACUCCCCAUCCCAUUAGGACAGUGCAGGAAGCUUUUUCACAGUUUUGGAGCUGAAGAUGUUUCUCAUGUGCUGUUGUUGUAGUCUUGUAGACUGUGGGUUUUUUUUUUUUUUUUUUUUUUGUAUAGGAACCCUGUUGGCAAACUAUCACCUCCCUGAGCUAAAACCCAAAACAUUCUUGAGGCUGAAAAGGGAAUUUACUUCUGAGUGUUUCCUGUUUUUUGAGGCUAUUUCAUACCGCAGUGCUGUUCUGGAUAAAACAGGGUUUCUUUCAUAUCAGUAUAUAGUACUGGAAACGAAUAAAUUAUUGAAGGUAGGAAGAUGGGAGUGAAUUAGAAGUGGACCGAGUGAAGAUCAGGUGGUACCUGAAGAAUUUCACCUGGGAAAGUGCCACUGAGAGGAAUUAGCACUGAGGUUGUCAUGUGUUGGGCUGAAAUCCACGAAGCAUUUGUUUCUGCUGCCUUACUCAGAAAGGUGCAGAAGAGAUGUUGGGAGGCACCUGGCCACUUAAUUUUGGGGAGAGCAAAGGGGAUGGUGAACAAUUCCCAACAUUGUUUAAGAUGAGGAAGAGAGUGGUGAGUGGAACCUCUUUUUUACUUUAAUAAAGGCAAUGUAAUCUGAAUGUCAUCUCUUCAUUAUGUGGUGACUGUGACUGACACAUGAUUUAAAUUGGUACUUGUAAGGCAAAUGGAAAAAAGAAGAGAAUGGCUGAGCAGUAGAAGCAAAACCAGUUGGGUCACUUCUCUUUCUUUAGUGUAGAAUUCUCAGAACACGCUCACUGAGAAAAGGUAUAAUCAAAAGUGAAUUUCAAGUUGCUUUCAGGGUUCCAACUGCCUUCCAUCUUCUCAAGGCCCCUAUUUUUGCUUUGAUAGAGGCUUUGUGAGAUGGUUAUCAUACCUCUUUCUUAGGUCUGGAAACCGACAAUACAGCUUCAUCCUCUUCUUGUGGCUUUGUCUGGAUGAGGAUGGGGAAUUUGAUGAAACGGUGACCUAAAGCAGCAGGACAAGACAAAGUACAGUUUUUGUGUACACCUUGUUAAAUUUAAACUUAAAUUCUCCACUCUUGCUGUGUUUUAACUCGAUACGCAGUGAAGUCUACUGUAUUUCAUUUUGAUUAGAAAAUAAAAGCUCAAGCUAGUUGACAGGAUCUUAGCCUUGGCACUUUAAUUCCAUCCUAGACAAUAAAUAUGUUCUGAUGAAGCAAGAACAAAUUAUUUCUGCUCCAUCUGAACCUUUUUGAAGCUUUUGUAACAUCUUUGAAGUUUAGGUAACUUUUAAGGCCUAAACCCUUAAUUGACCAGAGCUGCAAAAGCUUGUUUUUGUUACCUUUAGAGAAGCAGAGUAGCAGUGAGAGGGCUGGCGAUAUGUCUCAAGGUACUUUUUCAAGGAUAUACACCCUUUCCCCAGCUGCUUUUCCAAUAAAGUAUACUCGUUUUGCUUGGUGUUCUCUCUGCUUUACCUGGUGGGACUUGUAAAUCAUAAGCUGUAUGCAGCACUGUGGGACUGAGAAAUACCUUUCUGGGUAGGUUUAGGG
This 9799-nucleotide long non-coding RNA is filed under the name Gallus gallus (chicken). RNAcentral's name for it is "lncRNA (ENSGALG00010016277.1)". Lineage: Eukaryota; Metazoa; Chordata; Aves; Galliformes; Phasianidae. The record is from RNAcentral.